GAACUCGUUUUUUUUUUUUCUCACUUGCAUGUCGAGUCUGCAUUUAAAGGGCUGUAGCUCACUUCACCUCUUAGUUUCUAUCGAGACCACGUGAAGGGAACGAAGUGACUUGGAAGAAUCUUUGAGGUUCUUUUCAGCCAUGCUGCGUUUGAUCACCUGCUGGAUAUUAGUGUGCGCCAUGUACUUUGCCGUGGCCCUGGCUGAGAGAGCCACCAACCCGUGGUUGAUUCUAAGCCACCUGCUACAGGGCAUCGACCCCUCGGGACCUCCCAGGCUCAUUGACGACUAUGACGACGACGAAACCUCCGACGACGUUGAAGCUUCCGACGACGACGACGUCUUCAGCUUCUUCGGGUGACUGGGUGGUCACGAGAGGAGCAAGGUCUCUGCCGCCGAGAAAUCGUCUCUAGCGUCCCUCCUCGUUCCUCACCCUCCUGCACAAAAUUGUUUAUUUUUAUGAUACUUUUGUUUUUAGACACCAAGAAAUGUCACAUUUUUUCUCGUUAAUUUAUGAGUAAGUUCUCGAUGAGAAUGGAAAGGUCAAAAUAGACAAAAAGCGUAAGACGGAAGUGAUCUAAUUUGUUAUCGUCAUUAGUUUCUUUCAGAAAUGAGUGCAAUUACUGAUAUUUAUAUCUUAUGCCUGUUAUGCGUGUGAAAUGAUACUUAGUCUCAUUCAAAAAUUUAGACUCUUUGAUAUAGUACUCGACAGGUUUUUUCUUGUUUACUUUGCAAAAUAAUUUCAACUAUAUUCUUUGAUGAAAUAAAACCAAAGAUAAGGCCCAGUCUUCCCAGAUAAAGGAAAGCUAAAUGUCUAUUUCGACGGAAACACAUGAGAUAUUGUGAUGAUCCGAUAUCCAUCAGUUCUGAGGAACUUUCGUAAAGUACCAAAUGCAGAAUAUUUUAUAUAUCCAUUUUCGUGUCUGUUAUAAUGUCUUGUGCCUGAUUGUGUUGAUGUAAAUACAACCAUGAUUAUA
Long non-coding RNA from Macrobrachium nipponense, 974 nucleotides. RefSeq lists it as uncharacterized. The record is from RefSeq and is a predicted model, not a curated record. NCBI's taxonomy places the organism in Eukaryota, Metazoa, Arthropoda, Malacostraca, Decapoda, Palaemonidae. The transcript has 2 exons.